RNAcentral lists this ribosomal RNA (252 nucleotides) under uncultured bacterium. Its description in RNAcentral is "partial 16S ribosomal RNA". It matches the Rfam family "Bacterial small subunit ribosomal RNA", at positions 524 to 776 of the family's 1533-position model. The record is from RNAcentral.
UACGGAGGAUGCGAGCGUUAUCCGGAUUUAUUGGGUUUAAAGGGUGCGCAGGCGGAGGCACAAGUCAGCGGUAAAAUCGCGGGGCUCAACCCCGCUCCGCCGUUGAAACUGUGUCCCUUGAGUGCGCGAAGGGUAGGCGGAAUGCGUGGUGUAGCGGUGAAAUGCAUAGAUAUCACGCAGAACUCCGAUCGCGAAGGCAGCCUACCGGCGCGCUACUGACGCUCAUGCACGAAAGCGUGGGUACCGAACAGG